This 324-nucleotide unclassified non-coding RNA is filed under the name soil metagenome. RNAcentral's name for it is "partial contains 5.8S ribosomal RNA, internal transcribed spacer 2, and large subunit ribosomal RNA". The stretch from base 1 to 120 matches the Rfam family "5.8S ribosomal RNA", at positions 35 to 154 of the family's 154-position model. The record is from RNAcentral.
GAUGAAGAACGCAGCUAAAUGCGAUAAGUAAUGCGAAUUGCAGAAUUCAGUGAGUCAUCGAAUCUUUGAACGCACAUUGCGCCCUGUGGUAUUCCGCAGGGCAUGCCUGUUCGAGCGUCAUUUCAACCCUCAAGCCUCGCUUGGUGUUGGGCCCUGCCCGCCGCGGCCGGCCCUAAAGAUAGUGGCGGCGCCGCCUGGCCCUCAGCGUAGUACAGCUCUCGCUCCAGGGUCCGGCGGUAGCCUGCCAGAACCCCCCAACUCUGUGGUUGACCUCGGAUCAGGUAGGGAUACCCGCUGAACUUAAGCAUAUCAAUAAGCGGAGGA